RNAcentral lists this ribosomal RNA (339 nucleotides) under Spodoptera ornithogalli (yellow-striped armyworm moth). Its description in RNAcentral is "partial 12S ribosomal RNA". Lineage: Eukaryota; Metazoa; Arthropoda; Insecta; Lepidoptera; Noctuidae. RNAcentral also lists the same sequence under 1 other name. The record is from RNAcentral.
UUAAACUAGGGAUUAGAUACCCUAUUAUUAAAAUUUAAAUUAGUAAUACUAAAAUAGUAAAUAAUUAUUUAUUGAAACUUAAAUAAUUUGGCGGUAUUUUAGUUCAUUUAGAGGAAUCUGUUUAAUAAUUGAUAAUCCACGAAUAAAUUUACUUAAUUUUUUAUUUUGUAUAUCGUUGUUAAAAAAAUAUUUUUCAAUAAUAAUAAUAUUUAAAAAUUUUAAUUAAAAAUUAAAUCAGAUCAAGAUGCAGAUUAUAAUUAAGAAUAUAAUGGAUUACAAUAAAUUUAUUUAAAUGAAUAUUAAUUUGUAAAAUUUAAUUGAAGGUGGAUUUAAAUGUAA